UUAUUAUUUCCUUAUUUUUUGUUAUUUAUCUCAUUUUCUUAGAAUUAUCUUUUUUUUUAGUAUACUUAUUGAAUUAAUAGUUUUAUUCAUAGUUUAUUGUACCGUAGGGGAAUGGUAUUUUUUAUUUAUUAAGUAGUCUUGUUGAUGUACCUUUUGUAUCAGGGUUUAUUUAGUUUUAUUAUUUAUAUUGUUAUCCCGAAAUUAGAGGAGAUACCUUGAAUUGACAGUUUGUGUGUUAAAAUUAUUGUUAAAUGUUAAGGUAGUAGUGAUAUGCUAUUCGGUUCUAAAUAUCUGGUUUUCUCGGAUUUGUUUUUAAUGCAGAAGGUAAUGUUAUUUAUAGAUAACUAUAUUUCUUUUAUCUUUAAUAUUAUGAGGGAUAAGCUUUGUAGUGUUAGUAUAAUGUUUUAAUUGGUAUUGAAGUUUUGUAGGUUUGGUAACGGCCAUUAUUUCGUUAUAGUGUAUCUUCAAUUUUUUGUUAUUUAGUUGUAUUUACUUUUUUACGGGAGGGUAACUUUUAUUAUUUUAUUUUUAUUCAUAUUGGUAGAAUUAGUAGUUUUUAUAUUGGUUUAUAGUAACUCGGCAAUUUUUGUCUUCGCCUGUUUAACAAAAACAUGGUUUAUUGGUUUUUUUUUAAAUCUCGCCUGCUCAAUGAUUAUUUUAAAUAGCUGCAGUAUUUUGACUGUACAAAGGUAGCAUAAUAAUUUGUCUUUUAAUUGAAGGCUUGAAUGAAUGGUAGGACGAGGGGCAAGCUUUCUUUAAACUAUUUUAUUGAAUUUAAUUUUUUAGUUAAAAAGCUGAGAUUUUAUUGUAGGACGAGAAGACCCUGUAGAAUUUUACCUCUAUUUGUUUUUAUUAUUUUAUUUUAAAUGUUAUUUUAAUGAAGGUUAGGUUUUGUUGGGGAGACAGAGUUUUUUUAUUAACGAACUUUUGUUUAUUUUCAUUGAUUAUUGUUGUUAAUGAUCCUUUAUUAUGGAUUGUAAGAUUAAAUUACCUCAGGGAUAACAGCGUAAUCCUUCUGGAGAGUUCUUAUUGAUGGGAGGGGUUGCGACCUCGAUGUUGGAUUAAAAUUAGUUUUAGGUGUAGUCGCUUAUUUACUAGGUCUGUUCGACCUUUAAAUUUUUACAUGAUCUGAGUUCAGACCGGCGUAAGCCAGGUUGGUUUCUAUCCACAAAUGCAUUAAUAAUAUCUUAGUACGAAAGGACCAGAUAUUAGAGAUAUUCUUUUAUUUACUGAUUGUUAAUA
This 1242-nucleotide ribosomal RNA is filed under the name Libiocoris heissi. Its description in RNAcentral is "16S ribosomal RNA". The stretch from base 781 to 1242 matches the Rfam family "Bacterial large subunit ribosomal RNA", at positions 2048 to 2733 of the family's 2925-position model. The record is from RNAcentral. Lineage: Eukaryota; Metazoa; Arthropoda; Insecta; Hemiptera; Aradidae.